UCGAAACGCAAUACGCCGCAUAGACUUCGGUCAUGACGGUAUGGCGAGCUUUCGCCGUCCACGUUUCUCUUUCUUCAAGAAGACAAAGAACCGCGUCGAUCCAGUUUAGGCUGGACCGGUUUGANCGAGAAUGGGCCACGUAGCUCAGUUGGUUAGAGCACACGCNUGAUAAGNCGUGGG
RNAcentral lists this unclassified non-coding RNA (180 nucleotides) under uncultured Rhizobiaceae bacterium. RNAcentral describes it as "partial 16S-23S ribosomal RNA intergenic spacer". Lineage: Bacteria; Pseudomonadati; Pseudomonadota; Alphaproteobacteria; Hyphomicrobiales; Rhizobiaceae. The record is from RNAcentral.